Molecule: ribosomal RNA, 609 nt
Filed under: uncultured Actinomycetes bacterium
Lineage: Bacteria; Bacillati; Actinomycetota; Actinomycetes
Description: bacterial SSU rRNA
Rfam family: Bacterial small subunit ribosomal RNA
Source: RNAcentral
CAGCUUGUUGGUGGGGUAACGGCCUACCAAGGCUUCGACGGGUAGCUGGUCUGAGAGGAUGUCCAGCCACACUGGGACUGAGACACGGCCCAGACUCCUACGGGAGGCAGCAGUAGGGAAUCUUGCGCAAUGGGCGAAAGCCUGACGCAGCGACGCCGCGUGCGGGAUGAAGGCCUUCGGGUUGUAAACCGCUUUCAGCAGGGACGAAAUUGACGGUACCUGCAGAAGAAGCUCCGGCCAACUACGUGCCAGCAGCCGCGGUAAUACGUAGGGAGCAAGCGUUGUCCGGAUUUAUUGGGCGUAAAGAGCUCGUAGGCGGUUCGGUAAGUCGGAUGUGAAAUCUCCACGCUCAACGUGGAGGCGCCAUUCGAAACUGCCAUGACUUGAGUCCGGUAGGGGAGUGUGGAAUUCCCGGUGUAGCGGUGAAAUGCGCAGAGAUCGGGAGGAACACCCGUAGCGAAGGCGGCACUCUGGGCCGGUACUGACGCUGAGGAGCGAAAGCGUGGGGAGCGAACAGGAUUAGAUACCCUGGUAGUCCACGCCGUAAACGUUGGGCACUAGGUGUGGGACUCUAUCGACGGGUUCCGUGCCGUAGCUAACGCAUUAAGU